This 585-nucleotide ribosomal RNA is filed under the name uncultured bacterium. RNAcentral describes it as "partial 16S ribosomal RNA". It matches the Rfam family "Bacterial small subunit ribosomal RNA", at positions 355 to 935 of the family's 1533-position model. The record is from RNAcentral.
UGGGGAAUUUUGGACAAUGGGCGAAAGCCUGAUCCAGCAAUGCCGCGUGUGUGAAGAAGGCCUUCGGGUUGUAAAGCACUUUUGUCCGGAAAGAAAUCCUUGGCUCUAAUACAGUCGGGGGAUGACGGUACCGGAAGAAUAAGCACCGGCUAACUACGUGCCAGCAGCCGCGGUAAUACGUAGGGUGCAAGCGUUAAUCGGAAUUACUGGGCGUAAAGCGUGCGCAGGCGGUUUGCUAAGACCGAUGUGAAAUCCCCGGGCUCAACCUGGGAACUGCAUUGGUGACUGGCAGGCUAGAGUAUGGCAGAGGGGGGUAGAAUUCCACGUGUAGCAGUGAAAUGCGUAGAGAUGUGGAGGAAUACCGAUGGCGAAGGCAGCCCCCUGGGCCAAAUACUGACGCUCAUGCACGAAAAGCGUGGGGAGCAAAACAGGAUUAGAUACCCUGGUAGUCCACGCCCUAAACGAUGUCAACUAGUUGUUGGGGAUUCAUUUCCUUAGUAACGUAGCUAACGCGUGAAGUUGACCGCCUGGGGAGUACGGUCGCAAGAUUAAAACUCAAAUGAAUUGACGGGGUCAUAGCUGUUU